UAAGAGAAUGGAACUACAAGGAGGAGCUAUUUUAAACUUAAAAAUUAAAGUUAUUUUAAUUUGUGAAGAAACAAUUAUUAAAAUUAAGGACAAGAAGACCCUAAGAAUUUUAAAAUCAAUAAUUUUUUAUUAUAAAAGCUUAUUGAUUUUUAGUUGGGGCAACUAAAAAAUAUUAUAAACUUUUUUAUAAAUAAAAUGAUCCAUUAUUAAUGAUAAUUUGGAAAAAAUACUCUAGGGAUAACAGCGUAAUAAUUUUUGAUAGAACAUAUAGACAAAAUAGUUUGCGACCUCGAUGUUGGAUU
Molecule: ribosomal RNA, 302 nt
Filed under: Dermacentor albipictus
Lineage: Eukaryota; Metazoa; Arthropoda; Arachnida; Ixodida; Ixodidae
Description: partial large subunit ribosomal RNA
Source: RNAcentral